This is a non-coding RNA of Ictidomys tridecemlineatus (thirteen-lined ground squirrel), 72 nucleotides long. The record is from Rfam. Lineage: Eukaryota; Metazoa; Chordata; Mammalia; Rodentia; Sciuridae.
AGGGUUGUGGCUCAGUGGUAGAGCACUCACUUUGCAUGUGUGAGGCUCUGGGUUUGAUCCUCAGCACCACAU